This 810-nucleotide ribosomal RNA is filed under the name uncultured bacterium. RNAcentral describes it as "bacterial SSU rRNA". It matches the Rfam family "Bacterial small subunit ribosomal RNA", at positions 1 to 809 of the family's 1533-position model. The record is from RNAcentral.
AGAGUUUGCCCUUUGAACAGAUUGAACGCUGGCGGCAGGCCUAACACAUGCAAGUCGAACGGUAGCACAGAGAGCUUGCUCUUGGGUGACGAGUGGCGGACGGGUGAGUAAUGUCUGGGAAACUGCCCGAUGGAGGGGGAUAACUACUGGAAACGGUAGCUAAUACCGCAUAACGUCGCAAGACCAAAGUGGGGGACCUUCGGGCCUCACACCAUCGGAUGUGCCCAGAUGGGAUUAGCUAGUAGGUGGGGUAACGGCUCACCUAGGCGACGAUCCCUAGCUGGUCUGAGAGGAUGACCAGCCACACUGGAACUGAGACACGGUCCAGACUCCUACGGGAGGCAGCAGUGGGGAAUAUUGCACAAUGGGCGCAAGCCUGAUGCAGCCAUGCCGCGUGUAUGAAGAAGGCCUUCGGGUUGUAAAGUACUUUCAGCGAGGAGGAAGGCGUUGUAGUUAAUAGCUGCAGCGAUUGACGUUACUCGCAGAAGAAGCACCGGCUAACUCCGUGCCAGCAGCCGCGGCAAUACGGAGGGUGCAAGCGUUAAUCGGAAUUACUGGGCGUAAAGCGCACGCAGGCGGUCUGUCAAGUCGGAUGUGAAAUCCCCGGGCUCAGCCUGGGAACUGCAUUCGAAACUGGCAGGCUAGAGUCUUGUAGAGGGGGGUAGAAUUCCAGGUGUAGCGGUGAAAUGCGUAGAGAUCUGGAGGAAUACCGGUGGCGAAGGCGGCCCCCUGGACAAAGACUGACGCUCAGGUGCGAAAGCGUGGGGAGCAAACAGGAUUAGAUACCCUGGUAGUCCACGCCGUGAACGA